GACGAACGCUGGCGGCGCGCUUCAAGCAUGCAAGUCGAACGAGAUACCCGGGCUUGCCCGGGUGGAGAGUGGCGAACGGGUGAGUAACACGUGAGGAACCUGCCCCGAAAGACCGGGAUAACGCCGGGAAACUGGUGCUAAUACCGGAUGCCCUCGCCGGAUCGCAUGGUCUGGCGAAGAAAUGGAUUCCGCUUCGGGAUGGCCUCGC
Molecule: ribosomal RNA, 208 nt
Filed under: uncultured bacterium
Lineage: Bacteria
Description: partial 16S ribosomal RNA
Rfam family: Bacterial small subunit ribosomal RNA
Source: RNAcentral